RNAcentral lists this ribosomal RNA (278 nucleotides) under uncultured bacterium. Its description in RNAcentral is "partial 16S ribosomal RNA". It matches the Rfam family "Bacterial small subunit ribosomal RNA", at positions 79 to 354 of the family's 1533-position model. The record is from RNAcentral.
UAACUCCCGCCGGCGACCGGCGCACGGGUGAGUAACACGUAUGAAACCUGCCCGUAGCAGGGGGAUAAGCGGAAGAAAUUCCGUCUAAUACCGCGUAANAACCCGAGAGGCAUCUCCNCGGGUUUAAAGGAAGCGAUUCCGGCUACGGAUGGUCAUGCGUCGCAUUAGCUAGUUGGCGGGGUAACGGCCCACCAAGGCGACGAUGCGUAGGGGUUCUGAGAGGAAGGUCCCCCACACUGGUACUGAGACACGGACCAGACUCCUACGGAAGGCAGCAG